Molecule: long non-coding RNA, 31727 nt
Filed under: Vitis vinifera (wine grape)
Lineage: Eukaryota; Viridiplantae; Streptophyta; Magnoliopsida; Vitales; Vitaceae
Description: long non-coding RNA (VVIN_LNC006323)
Source: RNAcentral
CAGAGUAGACCUGAAGAAGUUUCCAGCCGUUUGCACAAAUGUAUAUCUAAGACACGCAAACUGGAUGGAAGUGCUGGAAUUUGUCGAAGCUCUUGACAGUUACCCAAGACAAGGAGUCUCAGCCUAGAAAGUUGAUUGAUCCCAGCAGGUAUGCUCCUAAAAAGAUUCCCGAAUAGAAAUAAUUCUUGCAGAGAUGAUAGCUGGCAAAUUUCAGUGGGGAUUCCUCCUUCAUCUAUACCACACACACGUAGAUCUACAACUUCCAAGGAGUACAAGCAGCAAAUAUCACUCAGGACUACUCCUUGCAUUAGCUUUGAGUAAAUAAGAUCUAACUCCUUUAAGGAGCAUAAACCUGACAAAGAAAGCAAUUGGCAACAUCUUGAAUUUAAGCCCCUAGCACGGAGACACUUCAAGCUUUGCAGCCUCCCCAGGUUUUGUGGCAAUUUGUGGAGUUUUGAACAGUAAUUCACAUUGAGAUCUUCAAGAAAGCGUAAAUUACAAAUGCUUUCUGGAAGAGUCACAAGGUUUUUGCACCUCUCAAGAUUCAAAACUUGAAGCCUAUUCAAAUGUUCGAUUGAAGAUGGUAGCUCUUUUAUGGCCGUUCCGUUCAAGUGAAGCUGCCUUAAGUUUUCCAUAUUCUCCAAGAUUUCUGGGAAGUACUGUAAUUGUGAACAGUCAGAGCAAAAGAGAGAUUUUAGGGAUUUGAACUCCCAAAUGCUUGUUGGUAGACUCUCAAGGUUUUUGCACUCUCGCAAACAUAAGGUAUCAAAUUCAGAGGCACACUCAAUGGGUGGUAGGCUGAUUGUCUGACCCUUUAAACAAAGCUUUCGGUGUUCCACAUUCCUCUGACAUUCAGCGCAGCUAGCAUCCACAUCAUCAGUCUGUACUAUUGGAUCUUGGGCGUAUAUAGGUUCAAGCCCACACUUGAGCACCUUAAAAUGAUUGCGACAGCCCAUAAAUAUAGCCCCAAGAAACAUGGAUGGAUUGGUGUGACAGCUCUCCAGAAUAGCAGCCUUGGGAUAGAAUAUCACCCACAUUUGUUCUGAUCCACCUCCAUCAUGGUAGCAUUUACAAGUAGUGCGAAAACUGAGACGUUGCGCACACAGGGUAGAAAAUCCAUAUCUAUCAUGUAAUGACAAUUUACAUUCUAACCCAGUGGAGAUUGAAGAUUCAGCUUCAAGUAAAUCGUCAUAUUCAUUUAGGGCUUCGUCACCAGAUUCAUUCUCCGAUGUAUGUGCAAAAUCAUUUUCUGGUAUGUCCUCACAUUCAUCGUGUGGAGCAUAAACACAGCAUAUAGCAAUUCCCAAGAAGUCAUUAUUUUCGUAACAAUUCUGAGGAAGGUCCAUUGUGAUAUGAUUUCCCUCUCUCUGAUUCCUUAUCCACUUGGGAAUUCCACAGCUUCCCGGAACAACAAUACAGACUCCAUUGCCAAUGAAGUCAGAAUCACGGAGAAAUACUUCAUUUGAACUGCUCUUGUAUUUCAAAUCCUGUACAAAAGGACAAUGUAAAUCCUGUGGGUCUGUGCCAUUAUGUGAGUUUUUAUGAGAGAGUUUGUUAUCAGUUUUUGAUAAAUUGAUUCCCAGUUUUAACUUUCUUUGAUCUAUGCUCCUGAAUCUACUUAAUAUCCCUUUUAGAUGACGGAUUAUCAAUCAACAUGAAAGUGAGUGACAAGAUUAAGUGUGAAAACUGGAAGUGAGGGGAAACUGAAACUGAAAGUGAGUAGAAUAACCAGAUCUCUUCUUCACUUGCAGUAGCUUCUUCUCCAUUCAGAUACAGAGAUCUUAGAAUUGUAGCUUCAACUUAACUCUCAGAAUCUUAAAGACAAAGUUCGCUCAAGUUUCAAAAACUCACACAAAAAUUUCUCCUCAUGUUUCUCUUAAUCCUAUGAGGCGAGAGACAUGUAGCACACACUUAUUGGCUUUUUUACAUGCAAGUUUCAAGGUGGAGCGUCUAAUGAACUAAAACAUUCCCUCAAAUCCCAGUGGAAAUUCACACUAGAAAUUGCAGAAUUUGCUAAGGAAAAGUUUAAUUCAUUUAAUCCAUGAAUAAAAAAGUAUGUGAGAGCAUUUUAACAUCCUAAUACUUAUUAUAUUAAACUAUAAUUCUCAUUAUUUAAACUCAUGAUCCUUCACUUCAUCACCAAAUUUUGAAGACACUUUUGGCAUCUCUUCCAUGAAUUAAUUGAUGUUUAAGAAGGUAUAAUAAACUUUUAAUUGAAUUUAACAUUAUUUCUAUCCUAAUACUCAUCUUAAACUCUGUUUUUUUUUUUUUUAUACUCUUAUCAAAACAAAUAAAAACUUAACAAAAAAAUAAAGAUUUCAAUUACUCCGUGUUCAAAAGGGAAAAUGGCUAAAUGUCAUGAAAAUCAUACCUCAAUAGUUGAUUUAAAGCAUUUGAACAGAGAAACACCAAGUAGACAUGAUGGACUUGAUAAAACUUCCAAGCAUGUGCAACUGUGGACAUCUAGAACUCGUAAACUUGGUGGAAGCUCUGGAACUUGUAGAAGCCCCUGGCAGUGACUCAAUUCAAGGACUCUCAGUUUAGAAAGUUGAAUGAUGCCUGCAAGUAUGCUACUAAAACAGUCCUUGCUUAGAUUUAGACCUGAAGCGUACAAACCCUCUAAACAUUGCAAACUCCUCAGGUUCUCGGGAAAUCUCUCAAGUUUUGUACAGAAACUGACAUUUAGAAUUUUGAGCGUUUUCAACUUACAAAUGGCCUCUGGAAGACUCACAAGGUUGCUGCAAUCUGCAAGAUUCAAAUGUUGAAGCCCUCUUAGAUAUUGAAUUGAUGCUGGUAGUUCUUCUAUAGCAGUUCCAUCUAAAUGAAGCUCUCUUAUAUUUUCCACAUCCUCGAGGAUUUCCGGAAAGCUCCUUAAUCGUGAACAGCCUGAGCAGAAGAGAGUUGUAAGGGAUUUCAACUCACAUAUGCUACUGGGAAGAAGCUCAAGGUUUUUGCAUUCUCGCAAACAUAACCUAUUAAGUUUAUGGGGACACUCAAUAGUGGGUAGUUCAUUGAUGGCAUUUCCCUUUAAACAAAGCUUCCAUAGGGAUUGCACAUCCUCUUGACAUUCCCGGCAAACGGUGGAUAUCAUUGCUUUACCAUGGUUCUGUUCAUGAUCAUGGGCAUAUAUAAGAUGGAUCCCACACUCUUCUACUUUCACUGCUUUACCUCUCAAGUAGCCACAAAAUGAAGCCGUCAACUGCCUCCAUUUAUUUGAGUGGUACUUCUCCCCAAUCUCAUACUUAGGAUAAUAAAUCAUCCACAUAUAAGGUACAACAUUGCCGUAAAAUGAGGGAUAAAACUGGAGUUUAUCCACAAACUGAAUUUCAUGACCACGCAAAGUCAAACCAUACUCGAAGUAAGUUGCAUCAUUCUCCAGUGUCUCCUCAGAUUCAUUAUCAAGUGGAUAAUAGACAGAGUACAAAACAAAACCCAACAAGUCGUCAUUUUUAUACCAAUUUUGAGGAAGCUUUGCUACUACUUCAGCUCCCUUUUUGUGAUGGCUUAUCCAAUUUGGAAUUCCACAACUUUCUGAAAUAAUAAGAUUUACUCGGGCAAAAGGUUUUUCUAAAGGAUAAAUCUUGCAUUCCAAAUCCUGCAGAAAAUUUAAUUAACACGUAAAUCCCCAUGUCUCCACAAAAAAAGUUUUGGUCUAUGAAUAUCAUACCUGAAUCAAUGAUUUGAAGCAGUUGAAUAGAGAAGACCAGAGUAGACCUGAAGAAGUUUCCAGCCGUUUGCACGAUUGUACAUCUAAGACACGCAAACUGGAUGGAAGCACUGGAAUUUGUCGAAGCUCUUGACAGUUACUCAAGACAAGGAGUCUCAGCCUAGAAAGUUGAUUGAUCCCAGCAGGUAUGCUCCUAAAAAGAUUCCCGAUUAGAAGUAAUUCUUGCAGAGAUGAUAGCUGGCAAAUUUCAGUGGGGAUUCCUCCUUCAUCUAUACCGCAGAAAGAUAGAUCUAACACUUCCACGGAGUACAAGCAGCAAAUAUCACUCAGGACUACUCCUUGCAUUAGCUUUGAGUAAAUAAGAUCCAACUCCUUUAAGGAGCAUAAACCUGACAAAGAAAGCAAUUGGCAACAUCUUGAAUUUAAGCCCCUAGCACGGAGACGCUUCAAGCUUUGCAGCCUCCCCAGGUUUUGUGGCAAUUUGUGGAGUUUUGAACAGAAAUUGACAUUGAGAUCCUCAAGAAAGCGUAAAUUACAAAUGCUUUCUGGAAGAGUCACAAGGUUUUUGCACCUCCCCAGAUUCAAAACUUGAAGCCUAUUCAAACGUUCGAUUGAAGAUGGUAGCUCUUUUAUAGCCGUUCCAUUCAAGUGAAGCUGCCUUAAGUUUUCCAUAGUCUCCAAGAUUUCUGGGAAGUACUGUAAUUGUGAACAGUCAGAGCAAAAGAGAGAUUUUAGGGAUUUGAACUCCCAAAUGAUUGUUGGUAGACUCUCAAGGUUUUUGCACUCUCGCAAACAUAAGGUAUCAAAUUCAGAGGCACGCUCAAUGGGUGGUAGGCUGAUUGUCUGACACUUUAAACAAAGCUUUCGGUGUUCCACAUUCCUCUGACAUUCAGCGCAGCUAGCUUCCACAUCCUCAGUCUGUACUAUUGGAUCUUGGGCGUAUAUAGGUUCAAGCCCACACUUGAGCACCUUAAAAUGAUUGCGACAGCCCAUAAAUAUAGCCCCAAGAAAAAUGGAUGGAUUGGUGUGACAGCUCUCCAGAAUAGCAGCCUUGGGAUAGAAUAUCACCCACAUUUGUUCUGAUCCACCUCCAUCAUGGUAGCAUUUACAAGUAGUGCGAAAACUCAGAUGUUGCACACACAGUGUAGAAAAUCCAUAUCUAUCAUGCAAUGACAAUUGACAUUCUAACUCAGUGGAGAUUGAAGAUUCAGCUUCAAGAAAAUCGUCAUAUUCAUUUAGGGCUUCAUCAUCAGAUUCAUUCUCCGAUUUAUGUGCAAAAUCAUUUUCUGGUAUGUCCUCACAUUCAUCAAGUGGAGCAUAAACACAGCAUAUAGCAAUUCCCAAGAAGUCAUUAUUUUCGUAACAAUUCCGAGGAAGGUCCAUUGUGAUCCUAUUUUCCUUUCUCUGAUUCCUUAUCCAGUUGGGAAUUCCACAGCUUCCCGGAACAACAAUACAGAUUCCAUGGCCAAUGAAGUAAGAAUCAGAGAGAAAUACUACGUUUGAACUGCUCUUGUAUUUCAAAUCCUGUACAAAAGGACAAUGUAAAUCCUGUGGGUCUGUGGCAUUAUGUGAGUUUUUAUGAGAUAGUUUGUUGUCAGUUUUUGAUAAAUUGAUUCCCAGUUUUAACUUUCUUUGAUCUAUGCUCCUGAAUCUACUUAAUAUCCCUUUUAGAUGACGGAUUAUCAAUCAACGUGAAAGUGAGUGACAAGAUUAAGUGUGAAAACUGGAAGUGAGGGGAAACUGAAACUGAAAGUGAGUAGAAUAACCAGAUCUCGUCUUCACUUGCAGUAGCUUCUUCUCCAUACAGAUUCAGAGAUCUUAAAAUUGUAGAUUCAACUUAACUCUCAGAAUCUUAAAGACAAAGUUCGCUCAAGUUUCAAAAACUCACAGAAAAAUUUCUCCUCAUGUUUCUCUUAAUCCUAUAAGGCGAGAGACAUGUAGCACAAACUUAUUGGCUUUUUUCCAUGCAAGUUUCAAGGUGGAGCGUCUAAUGAUAUAAAACAUUCCCUCAAAUCCCAGUGGAAAUUCACACUUGAAAUUGCAGAAUUUGCUAAGGGAAACUUUAAUUCAUUUCAUCCAUGAAUAAAAAAGUAUGUGAAGGCAUUUUAACUUCCUAAUAAUUGUUAUGUUAAACUAUAAUUCUCAUUAUUUAAACUCAUGAUCCUUCACUUCAUCACCACAUUUUGAAGAGACUUUUGUCAUCUCUUCCAUGAAUUAAUUGAUGUUUAAGGAGGUAUAAUAAACUUUUAAUUGAAUUUAACAUUAUUUAUAUCGUUAUACUCAUCUUAAACUAUUAUUUUUUUUAUACUCUUAUCAAAAUAAAUUAAAACUUAACAAAAAAAAAAUUAAAGAUUUCAAAACAAACUUUAUAAAUUUAUCAACACUUAUUUACAUCAUUCUUUAAAGAAAUAAAUUUAUAAUUAAAAAAAAAAGAAGUGAUUUAAGAAUUAUAAAGAAGAAAAUUUUAAGAAAAAAUGUACUAGUUAUUUGAAAUAAAAUAUAAGGGAAAUCAAAAUUCUUAGUAAAUGAAUCCUCAAAAAAUUGUAACAGCUAUGCAAAUGAGAAAAAAAAUUAAAAGUAAAAAAAAAUUAUCAAUGUCAAGAAUGAGAAACAAUUUUUUUCUUUUUCUUUUCGUAAGUUUUUUUAUUCUUAUUUAAUGUAUUCAUUACAAUUUUUAAAUUAAUAAAUAAAGUUUUUAUCACAAAAUUUUAAAAUGCCAUGUAUGCUUCAAAAUUUAUAUAUUGUUAUUAGAUUUUUAUAAAUUUCAUUUAUAUCUUCAAAAUUACAAUUAUUAAACUCACAUUUUAAAAUAAGAUAUCAUAUAGUUAUUUUUUCAUCCUUUAGCAAUAUAAAACGUUUUCGUACUUUAAUAAAAAAAACUUUUUUUUUUCUAAAUAAUGACUAUUUUGUAUAAUAUUAGUAUAAACUAUUUAACAUAUAAGUACUACUCAUUCAAUAGUUUAUUUUUUUAAUUUAUUAGAGAAAGAGUGGUGCAUAUAUAAUUCAAAUAAAAGGUAAUUUCAUAUUGCAAAAAAGUUUGUGGAAAAAGGAAAUUUGAACAAGCAUUGAAAUUUAUAGGAACAAUAUUGGAAACCUAGUUUUAGGUUUGUCCCAUACCAACAAUCAUGACUUGGUAGUAGCCUAAUCUCAUAUCUAACUUUGUCAAGCCCUUCCUUUACUAAGUUGAUCAAACAAGUUGUUAAAAAGCAUAAUACAAUAUUUUUCACUUUCACCUUGUUGAGUCUUCGAUAAUCUAUACACAUUCAAAGGGAUCCAUUAUGUUUCUUUUAGAAUAAUAUUGGUGUGGCAUACGAAGCUUUAGUUUGUUGGAUGUAUCCCAUGUUAAGCAACUCCUUAAGUUGUUUCCUUAGUUCUUCUAAAUUACGUAGUGCCAUCCUAUUGGACCUCCAUGGCAAAGGGCUUAGCUCCUGGCUCUAAAUCAAUCUUGUGCUCCCCUUCCCUUAUUUGUGUGAAUUUCUUAUGUAAAUUUAAUGGCAUCUAAGGAUGACAAAGUUUGAUACAAUUUGUACGUCAACCAGACUUGAACCCGAGCAUUUUUAGUGAGUUUGUGUUUCCAUACCGUAAGUUGGAUUCAUGAAAGUCUCAGACUUGAAUCAAUUGAAUUAAAAAUAAAUAUUCAUGUUGUUAUUAAUUUAGUUUCUUUUACUUAGUUUUACUAAAUAAAAUUUUAUUCACAUAUUGUUUUUCACUUUAGGAUUUAAAUAAAAGUGAUUCAUUUAUCCUAGUAUUGACAAAUUCCAUAGCCAGACCUAGAGGAUGAUACUCGGAGUACUAUAAAAGUUGUAGUGACUUUUUCUCUGAUUUUUCUUAAUCAAAGUUACUACAUAAAAAGACUUAGUAUUUGAACAAUAGAGAAGAAUGGUCAAAAUUCAAGUAAAAUGGAAUGAUUAAUAUUAAUGAAUUUUUACCAUAAUAAAGAAUGAUACUUGAUUCUAGACUACUUAGGUAUGGAUUAAAAGAUUAACAUUAGAUAGAAUAACUCACGUAUAUUAAAGCAUUUUGCUAAGUUCUUUUUAUCCUUGAUCUUUUAUGAGAUUGAGCCAAUAAGGUUACACUUAAAAAUUUAAUGUGUUUGAAACACUCCUCUAAAAUCAAUCAUUCAAAUAUUAGAAAACAAGUAAAAUAUUUUUCAUAUGCUGAUUAAUAUACCCAAGGUAGUUCUUGAAUUAUCCUAACACAAAUAUCUUGCGAGUCUUAAUUUUGUCAAAUCAAUAUAUAUCUUUAGAUUUCUAAAGAAACUACUAUACUCGCGCACAUUCAUCCAUGAGUUAGGUAGAUUUUAUCUCUUGUAAGAGUUCAAAGAUACUGCAAACAAAAUUCACUGUACAAUUAAUAUCUCUCAAUGGUAUGUUAUUCAACUAAAACUAGUAGUGUCUUAUGUUAAUGGGCUUAGUUUUAUAAUGUAAAACUAGAUCUUUAAUACAUUAAUAGCUCUCAUGUUAUCACAAGGCAUAAUUAUGAUUUAUCACUCUCACCAUAAUCCUUUUAACAUACGUUUUAUCGAAAGUAAUUGCUUGGUUUGUUAGCUUCUUAUUAAGCUAGGCAACUGAGCAAUUAAAAUAUAGAAACAUCCCCUAUAAGUGUUCUUCCGUUCUUUAGACCUUCCAUCCCUAUUCAACAUUUGUAUGAAAAAUGUUGUCUACAAAUAUAUUGGUGUAAUACCACAAUCCAAGUUUAUAAGUACCAACCACAAAUAUAAUGAUUCUAUUAACAACUCCAAGGUGUGAUUUCUUAGGAAGAUUCUUAUCACGCAUAAACUCCAGUUCUAUAGGUUUAUCCAGCCUAAAUGUCAUUACAUAAAGAAGGCUUCCAACCAUUGAUCUACAGGUGGAUAGAUUUACAAACUUACCACUCCCAUCUCUUGUAAAAAUUUUCCUACAACUUUUCUAUUGUCGUGACCUAGCUAAGUUCAGCCAUUUUAAUUUAGCUUAUAGAGAGGGCCCCAUCGCUAACAUUUCCAAUCACAUUGUUGAUAGGAUGAUCACUAAUUUCUCUAAUUUUGCUCCAUGUGGAUGUUUGCUUGAUUUUCAUUGAGUUCAUUCACAUUCUCAAUCAUUCAACUCUUUUUUCUCACCUAAAUCUAGAAUGUUUGAUGAAAUAUCCUUAAGAAAAACACAUUAUUUUCUUUACUUCCUUAGUCAUCUAUCAAUACAUUGAUCGAUUCAAUUACAACUCUUUAAUUAUUAAAGAAGAUCUUAAAGGCUUUAAGCCAAGUUGAGUAUCUAACAAAAAUUCUUUCAACAUGCUUUGAUUCAAACAUCCCUAAUUUUUUAGAAUUGUUUGGAUAAGACAUUGUUCCUAAAAACUAUAUUUUACAUUAAGCUUCCUACUUGUCUAAACAUCAUAGCAAGUCCUUUUGGUUCUAACGUAUAGGUGGACUCAAUUAGAAGUACAAGAUGUUGUGUUUAUGGGUUAACCUGACAAGUUGUUAGAGCCUUUGGAUUAAUCCAUUCUAAACCUAGGAUCGUUGGGGUGUUUGCAAAAACUAUCUUAAGGAUCUUUAGAUCUACCCAACAAAAGCAUAUACAUGAAAAAAAUACACCUGCAAACUUUAUGUUUCCAAAAUGAUUUCAGUCUAUGAAGAAGCUAGUGCAAAUCUCAAAAACCAAGAGAUCUUUUGCUCAAUGGCUCUCUUUCCUGGAUCUAGGCACUUGUAGAUGGUGAAAUCCUCAUAGAAGGGUGGAUGCUAAGGUUCCUCUCUCUAGAUUCUAAAGAAAUGGAAGAAGAAUAAAAAAGUCCUAACCCUUAAAUGGGUUUAUAUAGGAUUCCCUAUGGGCUUAAGUGACUUGAGUCUAUCUUAGGCUUAGGGGUCGCUAAAAAAAGCCCACUUGGAUCUUAGUUAAAUAAUUAGCCCUAUUAAGGUCCAAUUAAUUAAUUAUCCUUUUCCAAAAACAUCAUUCAUAAGAUCUAAAACAACUUUGCAUUUUUACCAAAACACCCUUAUGCACAUGUAUGAAUAAAUAACCUAUACAUCCCUUAAGUAAUGUGUCACAUAGAAGUAUGAACUCAAGUAGGGACCAUUAGGAGUGGUAGGAAAAUAGUGGCUCCUGUAUAAUUUAAUUCUAAAGUUGACUUAACAUCCUUCUACAAAAAAUCAAUUGCACUCUAAUAUCCUAUGAUAUUACAUUAAUAUAAAAUACAUGGGUUUGUGACCUACUAACGACUAAAAGCUAGCUCCUCAUGAAUUGGCGUCCAUAAUAUAACAAGGUGAACACUUUCAAUCUUUUAAGAUUAACUUUACAAUCCUUAUGUUAUAGAUCAUCCCAUUAAGUGAUAAAUUGACAUACUAUAACCCACAACGAACAUAUGGUAACUUCUACUAAACGAAUUACUGCAACCAUAGAUUUUGUCAUGACUACCUCAAUAGCUAAUGUCAUAAUUCAUUGUAAAUUUUGUCUAAUGUGCAAUAAUAUAUACUAAUGCACUCACCUUAGAAACCUCAUCCGAAUGACUAAGAUAAGUCAACUCGCUAAUUAGAAGGUAGUGCACUAUAAUCUCAAAUGGAUUGCCUAAAUUCAUCAACCAACUAUGAACAAAUCAUAAAUCUUGCAAGGAACCCAUGACUUGAAUCUUUCACAUAACUGCUAAUGUACUUAAGUUAUGUAUAAUACCACUACUGCAUGCAUGAAUACUCAAAUCAAUAUCAAUGUGAACAUGGAUAAAUUAGUGGAAACUCAAGCCUAACGGUGUUACAUCAUCUCUUGCUUGCAAGGGCUUUACCUUAACACCAAUAAUCAGGUAGGUUCUUGAAAUCCAAUAUAAUAUGUGCUAUUUCUUGGAGCACUUUAUUUUUCCUUUCAAUAACUUCAUUUUCUAUGGAGUUUUAGAUGUUGAAAGCUCUUCUUUAAUUUCCUUCUCACAAAAACUCUAGAAGUUAGAAUUACAAACUCAUUUCCUCUAUUAUUUCUUAUUUUUCUUACUUAAAAUUCAUUUUUAUUCAUCAUUUGAAAGCAUAACACUUUGAAUUUUAGGAUGUACUUCUUUCUUUCUAAGCAUUGCACUCUCAUAGGACCUAUGAUGAAAAUAUCGUUAAUCAUGGAUAUAUCGAUACUUCGAUUUUACGGAUAUAUCGGAGAUAUAUCGACGGAUAUUUUGGAAAAAAAUAUCGAUAAGUCUAAAACUGAUCAGAAUUUGUAAAAAUAUAAGAAAAACUUCAUAAAAAUGUAAUGAGAAGUAUAAUGAUAUUUUUAAACUGUUUUAUUAAAUAAUUUGAUAUAUGUAUAAUAUGAUUUAUCAUAUUUGAUAAUAAUAUCGUAUGCAUCGACAAAAAUAUGAAUUUUAUAAGUGUACAUUUAUUAUUAAAUUACAUUUAAUAUUAUGAUAUUUGAUUAUAAUAUGUAUAAUUUUAAAAUAUAUAUUAAUAUUAAAAUUAUGAUACAUUUAAUUCAAUUGUAUUAAACAAUAUAAAAUAAAUUAUAAUAUAUGUACAAUUUUUUAAUAUUUAAUUAAUUAUUAAUGAUAUUAAAAGCACUAUGAAGAAAAUUUUAUAAUUUUAAUAUUUUUGGUAAUCAAUUAAAAGAAAAUUUUGCAUUUAAUUAUAAAAUAAUUAUAAUUAAUUUGCUCUUUAAAAUAUUUUUUUUAAUAUUUUCCUUAUAUAAUAAGUUUAACUAUAUAUAUGUUUAGUACAUAUCAUAUAAUAAGGGUAAGUUAGCUUGGAUGGCAAGUGGGUUGAACCUCAAACCUUUUGGUUUGGGGUUCGAAUCCCCUCAACUUCAAAAUGAAGGGUUAUCGCUGAUUUUUUUGGAUUUCUCUCGAAAUUUCGUCAGAUCGAUAUUUCUCCAUGAAAUAUCGUAUCGAUACCCUCCGAUACAUGAUACAUUGGCGAUAUAUUGCCAACAUAUCGCAAUAUUUUCUUCCUUGCAUAGGACCCAUUAAAUCCAUAUGUAACAUCUCUAAGAGCCUAGAAAAAGAGAACAUCAUUUUUCUAUCACUCAUGUGAAUUCAUUGUCCUAGGUAGGACAAAUAGGAUUUUUAGGCUUUCCUAAAUGGGAAUUGCUUUAAUUAGUUCUUUAUUUGUAAUCCUAGACAAAUCAUUAGAGUUUAAAUGCGCUAUCAUACAAUGCUACAUGUCUUUGGAUGUAGAUUUCACAUUUUACAACUAUGUGCACUAUAGAUGAUGAGGAAAAAGUAGAGAGGUGUACAAAAGCAUAACAAAAAUUAUCAAAAAUUCUAUUUCUUACCAACACACAUCCUUGAAUAGACACUGAUUUUGAGUAAAAUGAACAAAGCACAUACAAUCACAAAUUUAACUUGCGUUAAUUAAGUUUGCUUUCAAUCACUCAAUAUAUAGUAACUCCUCGAGUAUAGGUAAAUUUGGACCUUCUAUGGUACAUUUCGCUUUCAAGUUGGUUAUACAUAAUGCAACCAUCCCCAAAUACAACCAAGCUUCCCUUUAUAGGUUCAAACAUGGAGAAAGACUUUAAGUUCAUUGUUGCUUUUACCAUUCCCAAAUACAACCAAACUCCUAUGAGUUCAAAAUUCAAGAAAGAUCUAAGUUCUCUCUCAUACAACUAGAGUAGCCACUCUCAAAAUCCAAAACGUGUUUUUCUCUAGCUCUUAGGCCCUAUGAUCAACUAAGGCUUUUAGGUUCUCCGUAACCCAGAUUUUCUUUCCAAUGGGCGAUUUAAAACCUAUUCAAGAAUUGUUUUUAAAAUUAAUUUUUCAGUUCUUAAAAAUAGAAACCUAUUUUCUAGACUAAAACCAUGUUUGGCAACUUUUUGACAUAUUAUAGUUUGUUGAGAAUUUGUUCUGAAAAUAAGGUUUCUCCUAAUAACAUAUUUUAAUUGCUUUCAAUUGUUUUCAUUUAUUUUAUAGGGUUGUUUUAAGAAAAUAAUAAUAAAAAUAUAAAGAAUGAUGAAACAUAAACUAAAAACAAAAGUUAUUUUUAAGAAAUAUUUGAAAAUACAAAAAAUAUAUUAAAAAUGUUCUAAGUUUUUAAAUAGGCUUUUAUUUUAGAAGACAUUAGACCAACUAUUUUUGAAAACUUUUUUCAAUAACGGUUUUUUGAAGAAUUAUUUUCAAAAAAAUUCCUAAACAAACCCCUAACCUCUGAGGAUCUAAAACUUUGCACUAAGUUUGGCUUACAUUCAACUUCUUUUAUGGACAAAGCAAUGGAGCUAGAACAGAUUUCUUUCAAUUUAGUCAAUUCUUAUUUACGUGGCUCAUAAUCAGAUUGUAAGACAUUCAAUUUUUUUAACAAGGCACCAUGCUCAUUUUCAAGGUAAGAGAUUUUUUUCAAGCAAGGAAAUCUUCUCUCAUACUUCUUUUAUUCUCAUCCAACUUUCACAAUUUUCAUCUUAAGGCACUGAUCAUACAAGGCUUCCUAGGCAAUCUCAAAUUACAACUUUUCUUCCAAAUAUGUUGUAUCAUGAGAUGAACCUUCAAAAUUUUCAGAUUCAAGAUCAGUUUCAAAUUUAACAUUUUUCUUUUCAUUGCGAAGUGAUAUAGAAGGUUACAAGUAUAUCAACAAUUUCGUCAAGCAUAUCGUGCUCUAAAAGACACAAAUAUCAUCAACAUCAUGUGAUAAUAAUCAUAAUUAUGUUUAUGCAUGUUUCUAGCAAAUUAAUGCAAUGAAAUUUGUACACUCUUCAUCAAAAUCAUACCAAAUUACUUCUAUGACCUUAUCCUUCUGACAUUCAAGUAAGUGACCUUUCUCCACACAGUAGAAACCUUGAAUCAACUAGAUCUUUUUUGUGUUUUUUUUUUCUUUUUAUCACAUUUCUUUUCCCCUGUUUAUGGUCUCAAAUAGGUUAUCCUCUGUUUCUUGAAGCUUUUUGAACUUUUUGAAACUUUAUCAAGCCUAUAAAUUUCAAAUAUUGGUCAUUUUUUAUUCCUAUUCUGAUUUAAAUGCAUGUUCAUCUACUUUUAGUGCAAUAUUAAUGUUUCUUCCUCUUAGGAACAAUUGGGGUCAUCUCUAAUUGAAGGGAGCCAACUAUCUCAUCUAGCUUAAUUGAAUCAGCAGUGUUCCAUUCCUCUAUUGUUAUGACCUUAGGUCUAAAACGAACAGAGAAGAUCUUAACAGUUUUCAGGUAACCUUGGAAUCAAGUAAAGGCCUACAUAGAUUGAAAGUUAGCAUUCACAAUGUCCAUGAUUUCAAUAAUAUAUUCAAAAAAUAUUUUUGUUGUGAUCAUUUGAAAUUCAUUCCUUCACCUAUCCUACCUUUACAUAGUUUUACCUACCCUAGUGGAUAUAUAUCCUAUCUCUAUUUAGCACCAUAUGAGGAUAUCAACCAAAUUGAACAGAACUCCAAUCUCUGUUAGACUUCAUUUUAAGGAAGUAUAUCAGUUUUACCUUGGAAUGAGCAUAAUUAUCUCCUUUGAAGUAUGGAGGUCCACCUAUAGAGGUUCCUUCUCGGAGAAUUUCCAUCUUAAGAGAAUAUAGUUUAUCCGUAUUGAGAACAUGAGCAAACAUGUUUUGAUACAAUUUAUGAGUUUUUAAGAGAGUAUGCUAUGAACUUGAGAUCUCUUUUAGAUGAUCAAAUAACAUAUGCACAUGAAUGUCAUUGAGUGAUUAGCACAAGGUCACAAACCUCCCUAAUGAAAUCUCAACCAAAAAGCACACAAAUAUUGCACAAGAUAUAACAUAAAAAAAAUCUCUAAGUGGAGAAAGGAAAAAAAAAAAAAAACCAAUGGGUGCCUUUGUUGUUGCAAAUCCACUAUGAAUAUAAAUCCAGUUUUGCCUACAAUUCCCUCCACCAGUGAAAACAAAUGGUCUUAUAUGAUCAACUCCAUUUACUAUAGGGUUAUAAAGGAAACACUUGUGGGCUGGCAGGCAGUAGCUCCUCCCAACUCAUCAUAUUUCCAACCCCAUUUGCUCCAUCAAAUUCAUAAGAAGCUAACAAAACAACUAGCAUUUUAUAUCAUACAAUAUCUAUGCUAGUUAAUUUGCAUGGAAAAGACAAUUUCUACCCUAAAUAUGCCAACAUACAGGAAGACAUACAAUUUAUACAAACAUUGUACGCUAACACAAGAAAAUCAUACCUCACUUGCUGAUUUGAGGCAAUUCACCAGAGAAUGCAUAGGUGGCAAUGAGGUCCCAAUUGAGCUGUGCAUAUCUAACAGUCGCAGACUUGAAGGAAGCUCUGGAAUUUGUGAAACCUUCUUGCAGUGACUCAAGUCAAGGGCUCUAAGGUUAGAGAGCUGACUAAUACCCACAAGCAUGUCACUGAGGGUUCCUCCUUCCUCUGGAUUGCACCGACUUAGAUGUAAUACUUCCAGAGAGGAUAGAUGGAAAAUACAAUGGAAGACUCCUCCAUUUAGAUUGCAGUUUCUUAGACUUAAUUCUUUCAAUGCGUUCAAGCAGUUAUCACUCUUUAUUACUCCUGGUGUUAGAUUGCAUUGAUCUAAAUAUAGUUUCCUUAAGAGAGAUAAACCUGACAAAGAAGGCAAUUGACAACUGAGCGAAUUUAAAGAAAGAACCUCUAGACAUGGCAUUCUCUCCAGGUCCUCCGGCAAUCUGUCAAGUUUUGAACAGCCUUCAAGACUUAGAACUUCAAGAAAUCUCAAAUUACAAAUGCUGUUCGGGAGACCUUCAAGGUUUUUACAAUUAUCCAAAUACAAGUUGCGAAGACCUUCUAGAAGUUCAAUCGAUGAUGGUAGCUCUUUUAUAGCUGUAUUAUCUAAACUAAGCCUCUCUAGUUUUCCAAUACUGCGCUUGAUUUUUGGAAAACUAGUUAGUUGUGAACAGCCACUGCAAUGAAGUAUGAAAAGGUGUUUCAACUUAUGAAUGUCCCCAGGAAGAUUCUCAAGUCUUACACACCCUAUAAAAUUCGAGGAAAAAAAAAAGUUAGUUUAAUAACAACACUCUUAUAUGUGUGUGAACCUUAAGUAAAAUUAUACAACCUGAAAGAUUAAGUUCCUCCAAAUUUGGCACGUUUGAGAAAUUUGGUAGUUCAAUAAGCUGUUGUGAAUCAUUGAGAUUGAUGUACCUUAAAUUUCUAAGACACUGGAACAAAAUAGAAUUUCUAUUAAUAAAUCAAUUUUAACCAACUUUAAAAUAUUAUAAAACAAAAGCAUAAAUAAAUGAUUAUCAUACCAUGUUUCCUUUCCAAAGUCGUUUUAUGUUACUAUUGCUCAAACCGAGGAAAACAAGAUCAUUUGGAUGAAAGUUUGGUGGUAGAGAUUCUAAAGAAUAUCCAUCCCAACCGAGACAUGUCAAGUCAUCAGACGGAAAUACAAAAUCUUCAGGAAGUUGUUCUAUGCAAUUGUGGGAGAGGAUAAGCAAUCUAAGUCUAUUCAUCCUUUUGAAAGCUUUGCAUGUAAACUGUAUCUGUUCUGAUGUGUCCAUAUGAAAGAAUAUCCCUUCAAUUUUUUCAGUCCCCUAGAUAAUAAGAGUAUAAAAUUAGAAAAGCACGAUACAUGUAAAUCCUUACUAAGGUGAUAUAGAUGAAUAUAUAUAUAUAUAUAUCUUACCGUGUUUCUUUUCAAUACUCGAUAAAUAUCUGUAUGUCUCCAUAAUCUGCUCCUCUCUCCUGGCUCAUUAGGACAUUCUUCAUCAACAAUGCCCUUGCCCAUUUGGGCUAACAAAUCAUGCAUAUCUAUUGUAUUGUCCUCUAAAAUGGUUAUGAAACAUCUAUCAACGAGAACAUUUAUUCCACUUUCCGCUUCGCAUCCGGAACCAUCCAAUAUUCUUGAAACUGCUUCCACAUCACCUCCUUGAAAGAAACAUGCAAUGUCGAGAAAUAUCAUCUUUUGUGUAUAAUCCAAUCCAUCAAAACUUAUUUUAAGCACUUUUACAAUUUCCAUGUUAGGCACCUUUCCCAACUUCCGCAAUUCGCUUUUCCAAUCUGAUAGUCUCUUUCCAAAUAAUAGAGAACCCAAAACUUUAAGUGCUAAUGGAAGACCAUCAGCAUAUCGUACUACUUGAUGAGAGAGAUCUCCAUAACCUUCCUUCAGAUGAUGUUGUUUAAAGGCAUAAAGACAAAAAAGUUGAAGAGCUUCGUGAAAAUUUAAUUUCUCAACUUCAUACAUUUUCAUUUCAUGCCUAGUUAGCAAAUCUUUUUUCCUUGUAGUAAUGAUGAUUCUACUUCCUGGACCAAACCAAUUAUGCUUUCCAAUCAAGUGUUCUAAUUGUGUCAGCUCAUCUACAUCAUCCAGAAAAACAAGAACCCUUUUCGAGGAAAGCUUGUCCCUUAUUUCUUUGAUACCCUCAUGAACAUUCCUUAAAACUAUUUUCCUCGUUGUCCCUAGAAUAUCAUUAAGAAGUUGUUGUUGUAACUUAAGAAGACCACCAGAAUUUUCUGUGGAUUCUUUUCUGACAUCUGUGAGUAAGCUUACACUUUCGAAUUGAUUUGAGAUUCGGUUAUAAAGAGCAUUGAUGAUGGUGGUCUUGCCGAUACCACCAAGCCCAUAAACCCCGACCAUGCGAACAUCAUUCAACCCAAUCUCCAACAAUGAUAUUAGUCUUUCCAAACGAUAAUCCAUUCCGACAAUGUUCUCGGUAACAGCUAAAGUCUUAGGGAAGCUUCUAGGGACGUUCUCAAUAAUUUUAUCAAUAAGCUCUGUUUCAUACCUGCGAAUUGCAAAGCAUAAUGGGACAUGUGUACUGGCGCAUUAGGAUGAGUUGCAAAAAAUAAUAAAUUAUAUGAAAUAAAUUUAAUGAUGCCUAGUUUUCCAACUAUAACUUAGCAGGGCUAAAAGGAAUUUAAAUUAAAAUAAAAUAAACCACAUCUAUCAAACUACUCAUGAGUACAGUUUCAUUAUUCAAUAUAUAUGAUAGAAAUAAGAGAAGAAAAUGCAAAAUAUGAAUUGCAUUAUCAAAAGUGGAAAAAAAAACACUAAAAUAUUUUGUGUGUUAGCUUAUACUAUUCAAUCUUUUGAAAGGUUCAAAAUAAAGUUGAGUUGUCUAGAACAUUACUACCCUAUUUUGAUAAGGGAUUCCAUCAUAGGAUCAACUGCGCAUCCAAGCUUUUUAAUCUAAUAAUUUUACUACUGAUUAGAUGGUCAAGUUUAAAAUUUUAAUGAACAGAUCUUUAUUUUAUAAAUAAUAAAAAUAAAUAAAAAAUUAUAAAAGUUUAAAACUCACUUUAGCUUUAAGCGGUUAGUCAAAUAUCUCAUACUAAACAAGUUAGAUAUUUUUUAUAUCAGCAGAAAGAAAAAAGGACAGUGCUUCAAAUGACAAAUGAAGAGAAAUUACAAUUACCUGUCCUUCGCAUCAUAUCCGGCUAGAUUGCUUGCUUGCCUCAGGGCAAUCUUCCAUUUCCUUAUCUUUUCCUUUCUCUCCUCAUCUGCAUUCUUCUCAUGAUGGGUAAAUGCUUCUCCGUAAAUCUCAGUUUGGUUCCGCAGUUCAGACGGAUCUACAUGAUAGAAAAUUGGGAUAACUACCAUUUGUUCCCUUUCCUCUUUGCAUUUCAUGAUCUUGACAAGCUCUUCCAGACACCAUUUGGAAUGAGCAUAGGUUUUUGAGAAGACAAUAAUGGCACUCCUUGAUUCUUCAAUAGCUUUUAAGAGCUCUGGUGCAAUCUCUUCUCCCCUUGGAAGCUCUUCAUCAUCUCUGAAGGUAUGAAUAUUGUUACGAAUCAAAGCCGAGUAGAGGUGAUCGGUAAAGCUUUUGCGAGUAUCUUCACCUCUGAAACUCAAAAACACAUCGUAGCUCCACUGAGAGCGAGAAGUGAAAGAAGAAGAGGAUCUCUGGAUGCUAGGGGAGGCCAUGGUUGAACAGAAAUUGGAGGAAAAAUAAGGGCCUUCGGGUAUUCAGUGACUUAAUUCCCCUAGCCUUAAUGUGAAGUUUGGAUGUUGGUGGUGGGAUGUGCUUUUUCUUUCUCAAUUAUUUCUCCUUAGCUGUAUCCCUCUAGCUUUGAACUUUCACUUUUGUCCCUUUUGGCAGUCAACAAUGGCCGGCACUCUUCUCUCUGCAAUUUCCAAUUAAUUUCUAAAAUGUAAAAAAUAAAAAAUGAUCAAAUCCAUGUGGUCUUUACUUAGGUCAUAAGAUCGUGUGAACACACAUUAAAUUAAAGUUAUUCAAUUAAGUUUUGUCUUUUCCAUAAUUAGCAAUAUUACGGUAGAAAAUAAAGGUUUAUUAAGUUGAUAUGUCAAGUAAAGCUAACAACUUUGGUAUUAUAAGCUUGAUUUUUGUAGAUGGAAAAAUAUAAUGAGUCAUAUGACAAAAAAUAAAGAAAAUUUUGAUCUUGAAGAAUAGAAAGAAGCACAAAACCUUCAUGAAAGUUUAGGGAAGAAAGACCAUGCUCAAAACUCCAAAUUUAAAUUCUCACGGACUUUUCACAUUUUGCAGCUGGCUUUAUUAUUAAUAGAAGCACAUAAAUAAAUAUUGUAAUUAAAUCCCACUAAUUUAUAGGUCAUAAUGGUAUAUAUCGGUCAUCACAGUAAUUGAGUGGGAAGGUGGGUACCUGUAAAAAGAAUAGACCAAACCAAUCACCCUAAAGUACCUUUAUCAUAAAAGUCAUUGAGGUCCUAAUGGUAAUAAUGGUGGAUAUCUUUGGAAAGAGAAAACAAUCCUAAAUUUCAAAAGAACGUCUGUUUCUUGGCAAUUGUAUCCCCGACAGCCUUAUCUUUUUUUACUUUAUAUCUUUUUAUUAUUAUUAUCGUGAGGAUGGUUAAAGAUGAUAUUAGAUAUGUAAUCUUUCUAUGGUUUAAAAAUGAAAAAUGUGAGUGUUAAGUUGGCAUUUUUACCAUUUAGAAAAUACUUGAUUUUAAGAUCAUUAAUAGGAAGAAAUAAAGAGUUCCAAAAAAUAAAGAAGCUUUUAUUGACUAAUCUAGGCAACCCCUUUCUUGGCUUUUAAUUGUAUCUACUUUGUCGAAAAUCUCAGUCAUUCCUCCUUGUCUUCCUUUUGUUAUUCCUAAGUUCCAACUCUUUUUUUUUUUUUUUAAAUAAUAAUAUUAGUUUUAUGUUUUAAUGAAAUGGGUUGCAAAUUUGAAGAAAACAUAUUCUUGUGUAUUUAUUGACUAUGACCCUUUCUUCACAAAGGUUAACGUUAUUUACAUUCUCAAACUAAUCUUUGAUGAGUUUGAGUUUUUCUUUACUAACAAAACUUCUACCAUAUCUUUCUUGUAGGAACAAAGUCAAAUGACCAUAUUUUGAGACUUAUAUGAAUGGUCUCAACCAUCCAAUCCAAAUACCUACUCAACCCACAACUUCACUCCCACCAAACAACCUUUCGACUAUUAACAUUAUACUAAGAUUUCUUACCUUUGCUAUUCAAAUUAUCGUAAUAAUGUACAUCUUCUAUUUUAUAUUUUUAAUACAUUCCAUUUAAAUUUAACUUCUUACAUCCUUUAACACCUUAUUGUGCAUUUGUGGUUAUUUUUCUAAGCUGUUUUUUAACUUUCAUUGGUGGUUCAUUGUAAUUAUGUUGGUUACUGGGUUUUUUUAUUCUAUUUUAUGCAAGAGACAUUUUGAAAGGAUUAGGUGCCUUCCAAUCUUGAUUUUAGUGAUUUUUAAAUCUUAGUUUAGGACUUUGUUUUUGAUUGAUUUAUAACAUAUUUAGGUUUGUUUAGAAUUUUAAAACUUUAAUUGCAUAAAAUAGAUUCAAGAUUUGAAUUAAUUAAUAAUUGAUUUCAUUCUCCUUUAAAAUGUAGAAUAUGAUAAACGACUUGAUAGCAAAUUCAAACAAAUCUUUAUCCAAAUGAGAAUUUAUGUAAUCUAAUCAUUUUAUUAAAUAUCACCUAGUAAAUUAUAAAAAUAAAGAUAUUAAUCACAUUUGUUAAUAUGUUUUUUUUAAAUUGACAAAUUAUGAUGAAAUUAUAAUCUUUUCAAUAUUUUAUUAAUUAUUAAUUAAAACAUCACUAUAAUUAUUCAAUCCAUGGAAUAUAAAAUGAGUUAUUUUUAGUAAUAAUAAUAAUAAUGAUAAUAAUGAUAAUAGUGAUAAUAAUAAUAAUAAUAACUAAUCAUAUUUGAAUAACAUUUCAUCAAUUAUAUAUCAAAAUAAAGUUGUAUGUUUAUCAUAACCUAUGUUUUAAAACAAAAUAAUAAAAGUUAUAUUUCCCUUUAAAUGUAUUUACAUAUCUACCUCCAUAGUCCAUGGUAUUAAAAUAAUCUAAUAAAACACAGUAUCCCAUAACCGGGCAACAGCACAGCUGCUCCUAGCUUUAGCCCCUAGCAGCUGCAAUCAGCUUUUCCACUCUCUGUUACAGUCCAGCUUUGGCCGCCCAAGACGUACAUCUUUAAAAGUUGAUUUUAUUUUUUUUAAUUGAAUGUUUUUUUUUUUUUGUAACUCUUCUCGAUUAAUAAAUAAUAAUAAUAAUAAUAAUAAUAAUAAUAAUAAUUGGAUUUGGUUUUUAAAGUUGAGUAUUUUCUUUAACUAAUUGAUAUUAUAAAUAUAUAAAUAAUUUCUACAUUCACAUUUUAUAAAAAAUAAAAAUGUUUCAUUUUGAAAAUUUUAUGCAUUAUUUUAAAAUUUUCAAAUAAAGGAUUAUUUGUAAAUAUUUCUAAAUAUGUUUGAUUUCAAUAAUUGAUAAAUUAUAUAAUCAAAAUAUUAUGAAUUGGUAAAUAUCAAUUAUUGGAUUUUAUGAAGAUAAAAUUUAUGAUAUCAAAUAGUAAUGCAUUAUAUUUAUAAAUAGAUGUAUUUUUUCUAUUUUAAAUGUAAUUAACAAUAUAAAAAAUUAAUUAAUAAUGAUAUAUUUAUGAUAAUUUUUGUUUAAAAACAUUUAUAAUUUUAUUUAAAAUUAAAUUUCAUUUUAUAUUUAAUAAUUAUAUAAAAGAUAAAAAAAAUUUAAAAGUAAAUCAAACUAAUUUAUUUAUAAAAAAUUAUUAAUUUUCACUAUUUUACUUAUUUUACAUAUAUAUGUAUUGGGACUGAAAUCUGUUCUCCAUUCUCUCAUUCUUUCCUCCAUUUCUCUUUCGUUCCUAUUCUCUGUUUCCUUUCUCCUUGUCUUCAUUUCUCUUCUAACAUCCAAACUUUUAUUCAUGACGGUUAAACUAUUUCUCUUUUCUAAGAUCAAAACAUAACUCACUGAGGUUAAAAUCCAGAUUGUGAUUGUUAUAAAAAUUCCUAGUUAGGGUUUUAGUUUUAGUUUUAAUUUUUUUGUUCUUUUUUAUUUUUUGCAUUCUUGGUCUUUUGUGUUAUUGUUUAUGUUUUAUUUGGUUUAUGGGAAAUCCUAGAAUUUAUGAAAGUUUUGGCUUUGAAAUAUCCAAAAAAUAUUGAAAUAGAAAUGACCAAAAAAAAAAAAAAAAUUGUUGAAUAAUGUUGAGUUUUUGGUUGAAUUUUUGUUUGACCGAUUUUUUUAUUUUCCAUUUUCUGAUUUGCCCUCGUAGAGUAAAGAAUUUUCCUUCAUAGUGAAGAGAUGAGAACACUCAAGAACAUUGAUUGAAAAUACGAAAAACAUCUUAUUUUUUUUCUUUUUAGAACAUUGGCAAAAACACGGAAAACAACAUUUUUUUGUUUUUUGAAAACCAGACUUUAGAAAACACGAAGAAUACAUGGGAACAAAAAACACUCUCUUAUCAAACACAUUUUGUGUGUUUUUGUUCUCAAAAACAAAAAACUGUUUUUGAAAACAUUCACCAAACAUGCCCUAUUUUUUGAGGUAAUUCUUUUUAUUCUUUUUCUUUGCGGGGGAGGGGGAGGAAAUUUUGGCGAGCUGUUAGAAAAGGGGAUCUUGUGGCAGUUGGAGUUUAGGUUGCCUCAUGUUCUCUCUCCCUCUCUUUUUAUAUUUUAGUUUUUUUGCAAUAACUUGAACUCAUUUCCUUUGAGAAUUUCAUGUUCAUUUUCCCACACUUUGUUUUUGUUCCUAAAUUUAAUCUUGUGUUUAUGUCUAUCAAUUAGUUAUUUAGGUUGAGGAAAGGGGGCCGGGCCUUAGGUCUUCCCUUUUACCCUUGAAAUGAUCCUCUCACUUUGGGUGAUUAUUGAUUUAACUAGCUUAUAAUUUGGCCGUCUUUAUUUUUUAUUGAAAUCAUCAUACCUUGAUGUUUGGAAAUUGAAGAUUCAGGGCCCUUUUGAUGGACUGUCUAGUGGAGUGUGUGGGCAUAGGAAUGAAUUAACGGAGACGUGAAAGCUUUGAUCAGUCCAUGAAAUACAAAUGAAAGGUUAUCACCAAAAAUUAAGCAUGCGUGCAUUGAUAAUAGACAAGUAAAUGAGAGAAAAUGAACUUCAAAUCUUACUUGACAACGAUACUACUAUAAUGGGAUAUUCCUCAACAUAGUGGUUAUUACUUAAUUUGGUAUCAAUAACUAUGCUAAAACCUUGCCCAUUACUGAAAAUGGACAGGGAAUAAGCAAAAAUAUUAUAAUAUGUCUGUAAUUGAUUCCUUUCAUCAUAGUAACCCAUUGGCCAGAUUGGCUUAGUUAACUAAAUGAAAACCCGAUUUCUUAUAUUUCGAAUGAACCAAAAAGGAUACAGUAGUAAACAGCUAUGGAACCAAUAUGUAUGAGGAUAAAAAACAACAACAAUUUUGAUUGAAACUAAUCUUGAAAUAAUCAAUGGCUAAGUACAUCAGGUUGUGUUUAUAAAGUCCUAGUUCAUAAGCACUAAAUUCUAAUGCUAACACUCUCUCCAAGUGCUUUCAGUCUGCUGCUUCAAUACAAGUACUCUAUAUGUGCGCUUGAUAGUAACUUGCGCUUGAUAAUAACUUCUCGUGUCCUAUAUAUUUAUACCCGAUCAAGGGCUGCCAUUUUAUUAGAUUGUUGAGUAAUGACGCUGCUUGUUGAAGGAUUGUGAGACAGAACAAUCUCAUACCCAUCAUCACAUGACUGCAUCCCCUCGGCCAUGAGUUGCCAAACCAAGCCUCCACCAAUUCCUCCACUUCUUGCAAAGUUGUAGAUGUUGGUAUAAACAACAUUCAAAAAUGAAUCCCUUUUAUUUAUAAUUUUAAUUCUAUUGUACGAAGGAAUUAAGAAAAAACUUUUAUUCUAAAAAAAUAUAAAUUUUAACCUAAAAUAAUUUAGUAUAUACUUUAUCAAGUGUAAAAUUUUAAUGAACAGAUUUUUAUUUUAUAAAAAAUAAAAAUAAAUAAAAAAAUUAUAAAAGUUUAAAACUCACUUAGCUUUAAGUGGCUAGUCAAAUAUCUCAUGCUAAACAAAUUAAAUAAUUUUUAUAUGAGCAGAUAGAGAAAAGGACAGUACUUCAAAUGAAAAAUGAAGAGAAGUUACAAUUACUUGUUCUUCGUGUUAAGGAUAAUUAGCCUUUCCAUUACAAUUUACCAUAUGUAUCAUAUUUGACCCUUGAUUACAUGCUAUUCCUUUGUAAUCAGUUUGAUAUUAUUUCCUACUUUCCAUUUCUUUUAUAAUCAGUUUGAUAUUAUUUGAUUUGUAAUAUUCUAUAAAUGAUUAUAAAUAGAAAACUCUCACCACCUUCUCAAGUGUGGUGGUUUGACAAAUAUUCUUACUUUGUAUCAUAUCCGGCUAGAUUGCCUGCUUCCCUCAUGGCAGUCCUCCAUUUCCUUAUCUUUUCCUUUCUCUCCUCAUCUGCAUUUUCCUCAUGAUCGGUAAAUGCUUCUCCACAAAUCCCAGUUUGGUUCCGCACUUCAGACGGAUCCACAUGAUAGAAAAUUGGGAUAACCGUUUGUUUCCUUUCCUCUUUGCAUUGCAUGAUCUUGACAAGCUCUUCCAGACACCAUUUGGAAUGAGCAUAGGUUUUUGAGAAAACAAUAAUUGCAAUCCUUGAUUCUUCAAUAGCUUUUUAAGAGCUCUGGUGCAAUCUCUCCUCCCCUUGGGUGUUCUUCAUCAUCUCUGAAGGUAUUAAUAUUGUUACGAAUCAAAGCCGAGUAGAGGUGAUCAGUAAAGCUUCUGCGAGUAUCUUCACCUCUAAAACUCAAAAACACAUCGUAGCUCCACUGAGAGUGAGAAGUGGAAGAAGAAGAGGGUCUCUGGAUGCUAAGGGAGGCCAUGGUUGAACAGAAAUCGGAGGAAAAAUAAAACAUAUAAAAUUAUCAAGUCCAUGGGGUAUUUAAUUAGGCCAUAAGAGAUCGUGUGAACUCACACAUACAUUAAAUUAAAGUUAUUGAAUUAAUUUUUGUCUUUUCUAUAAUGAGCAAUAAAUAUUCCUGUAGAAAAUAAAGGUUUAUUAAGUUGAUAGGUGAGGGAAAGCUAUAUAACAACUUCGGUAUUAUAAGCUUGAUUUUUUAAAAAUAAAAAAUAUAAUAAGUCAUAUGACACAUAAAAGUUCAUUUUUUUUAAAAUCAAGUCAAACAUUUUUAUCUUAUUAUAAUUUCUUAUUAUUAUAAUAAAUAAAAUAAUUUUUUAAAUAUAUUUUCCUAUUAAGAUAUAUUAUUCCUAACCACAAUCGAAUUUUUAUAAAAGAGCAAUUAGUUUCUUAUAUGAAUGUUUUAUUUAAUCAAGAUAAACAUGGAAAGAAAUUGUUAUCACAUGUCCUAUAUUGAGAAAAAUUAUAUAUAAAUUGGAAAUAAUUUUAAAAAUAAUAAAAUCUAAAAGUUGUUUCACUAUUUUCUAAAAUUAAUUUUAAUUUCUUAUAAUUUUGCUAUUUUUUUGUUGAUUUUUUAAUAAUUAUUUUAAUUAUAUAUCUAUAUAUAUAUAUAUAUAUAUAUAUAUAUAUAUAUAUAUAUCUAUAUAUAUAUAUAUAUAUAUAUAUAUAUAUAUAUAUAUAUAUAUAUAUAUGUGUGUGUAUAUGUAUACAUACAUAUUAAAAAAUGUUACUCAUUUAAGUGGUUUCAAAUGAUUUAUUUAUUUGCAUGAAAAAAACAUGAAUUGAUCAUCUUUUGAGAUGUAGUAAGAGUCGUUUGGUUUAGGUCACAGUGGUAAUGAGUUGGAAGGGUCUAGUACCUUUUGAAAGAACAAAAGGAGCAACAACCCUAAAAUUCAAAAGUGUUGGAAUAUUAAACAAUGUCUUGGUCAAAAAGGGAAAGCGCGUUGGAUCAUAUAUUGAAAAUAAUGUCUUGUUAACAAAAAAUAAUGUCUUGGUAAAAAUAGAAAACAUAUAGGAACAUUGAAUAAGACAAUACCAUAUGGUUAGGAAAGGUUAUUCUCUAAUCUUUUAUCCUUAUUGACUCAUACACUUGUUGAACCUCCUUAACAAUAGAAAGAAAGUUCAUUCUUAUGAAUCCUCAAAAUGAAUCAAAGAGAUAAAUUUCAAUUUUGAAGUAAACAUAAUUAUUUUUCUAUUUUUGUUAAAAAAUUGACAAUACUUAAUUUAUCAUGUAAGAAUCAAAGAAUAAUAGCAACUAUUCAUACAAUCGGUCUCAUUUUGUUGUAACAAAACUUAUGAUUAUUUUUCUUCCAUGUAUAUGAGGUUACUAUAAAUUCAUUUCCCACUUGUCAUGUGAUUCAAAUAGAACCUACUAGAUGAAAUUUCUCUCAACAUAUUUCCGCAUCACAAUUUUUCUUUCAUUUUUUAUUUUAUUUUGAAUUUGCAUUAAAUAAAUUUCAACCAUAGAUACGCACUAACAAUAUUUAAAUAAAGAUGAUAAUGUAUUUAAAAUUUUAAUAAAAACUGAGUUGAAUUUUUCAACUUACGUUUGAUUUCCUUCUGUUCACCUAAUGUUGGCAUUAAAAUACAAAAAAAAAAGUCAUUGUCUUCGGGAUUUUUUCUUGUGAGCUUAUCCUCAAACUUUCUUAAAAAACUAAGUUGAUUAUUGUUGUGCUCACUUAAUGUUUGCAUUAAAAUACUAGAAACUUAUUCUUGUGAGCUUAUCCUUGCACCUUCUUCGAAAAAUAUAAGAUUGAUUCUUAUUGAUAGGAAGAUAAGAACAAAAACUUCUAAUAAAUUAUAUUUUGGUAUAUUGAUAAUUUAAUGGGAAAAAACGUUAAAUUUUAUAAAUGUAAAAAGAUGAUAUAGUUGGAUGACGCAUUUAUACAAACAUAUGAAAAGAACAUUUAUAGUCAAUAAAUGAAAACCAUGUAAAUAUUCAAAAGGCUAAAAUCACAAUUGAUUGGAGCAAAAAAAUUUAGCUCAUCCUAUAUUUAUUUUUUAUCAUCAUAUUCUUAUCGAGCUUCUUAGGCAUCAAAUAUAAAAAUUCUCUAUUUAAAAUCAAAAUAAAAUAAAUAAGAUCUUGUCAACUACAAUUUUAAUUCAACUAUUUUUGUUGCUAACUAGUUCCUUGAUUUUUGGUACUUCGAUUUCUCAAACAACACAAAAUUUCAUUUCAAGGAAGACUCAUUAACAACAUGAAAUUCAAAAUUACAUAUGCAACAACCCAACCCCAAGCUUAAGUAAAUUUGUAAUUUUAUUAAUUAAGAAAAUAAAAACUUUGGGCUAUUUAAAUAUAAUUGGAUUUUAAUUUUGAGUUUGGGUUCAAGUUAAAAAAAAAUUAAUGAGCCAAAUAAAUUAAUUGGGCAUUUAUAUUCAAACAAUUAAUCUUUAGUAUUAAGAUUUAAUUGAAUUGAAAAAAAAAUAGAAAUAAGAUAAUAAAGGGAGUAAAAUAGUCAUUUCUCAUUAGAAACCUAGGUAUGAAUAUUCACUCUUCUUUACAAAAGUCUUUUUGUAUAGAGAGCAAAUGUAGGGUUUGAAAUCAAUCUUUGAAUGUAAGCACGUAUAGAUUUAAUAUUUACUUUCAUUUUUAAUUUUCAUGGGAAUUAUUAAAUAUGAUCAAAUUUUAUGAAAAAAUUAAAUAACAUNNAUUCUAAUUAAUUAUAAAGUCACUACAUUAAAAGUCUNNNNNNNNNNNNNNNNNNNNNNNNNNNNNNNNNNNNNNNNNNNNNNNNNNNNNNNNNNNNNNNNNNNNNNNNNNNNNNNNNNNNNNNNNNNNNNAAUCAAAAAGUAUAAGUUACAAAUUUCAAAGGGUGUUUAUGAGUGGAUCAAUUUUUGGUCUCAAUUAAAAAAGCUAAUUGAAAAUAAUAUAAAUAUAAUAUGUUUUUAUUUUAUUUAUUUAUGGUGAGGAUUAUAAAAUAAAUUGUUAUUUUUUAAUUUUAAAUAAAGUAAACAAAUAAGAUAAAAUAGAAAUUAAAAUCAAAAGAAAAAAAAUUAAAAAUCAAACAAUAUAAAAUAUUGAAAGUGAUUGAAUAAAAAAGAAAAAGUUUACAACUCAAAUAAGAUCAAUCUAGAAAAUACAUUACAUAUUAAAAUAUACGCAUAAAAUGCAUUUCAUACUGUUAGAUGGUAAAAGUCCAAGUAAAAAAUCGUAGGUUGAUGACCUGAAUUGCAUAGGUUGCUUUCAGACCAUUGGGACUUGUUAGGGUUCAAAGUCAAAAAUAGGACUAAUAAUAUUUAGUAAUAUCAUCUCAAGCCUAUUCCAAAAUAUGGCAACAUGGUAAAAUUAAAAAUUAACAUAAUGCUUAAUAAUAAUAAUAAUAAAAAACCUUAUUGGUUUUUUUUUUUAAAAAAAUCACUAGAUAUUGUAUAAUUUUUCUAAAAUGAAUGAGAAAAGUUAUAAUUAUGAAUCUCUUGAAGAAAAACCUUUCAAUUGCAAUCGCACUCCCUUAAAAAAAAAAAAAAAAACUUAAACAUAAAAGGGUUAAAUAUAUAAUAUGAGUAAAUUCGUUAAUCAUCACAUAAAAAACAAUUUUUCCAGACCCCCUCGAUCAACCCCAUGAGCUAACCCAAGCAACUCAAUGUUGACAUCCUAAGCUAAAUGGUAUUAUCUGAUUAAUUAUUUUACAAAAUAUACAUAUGUUAUAUCUUAAAAUUGGUUACUAAAUUAUAUUACAGUUAUCAAAUAUAUUACCAUAUAUAAAAUACAACUUAAUAAAUCUUAAGCAUAAUACAAAGCACAAUAACAAGAUAUGUUAAUUUAAGUUAUUAAGAGCUUAUUUAGUUGUGUGAUUUAAAAAUAGUUUUUUGUUUUUAAAAAACAAAAAUUAUCUUUAAAAUUUUCUAACACUAUUUACCGUUGCUUUUUGGAAACACUUUUUUAAAACAAAGUAAAAUAAAGAACAAUUUUUAAAAAACAAGUUGAAGUUGUUUUUACCAGUUUUUAAAAAACAAAAAAUAUAUAAACUCAUUUCACUAUGUUUUUUGAAACUUGUUUUUAAAUUAAAGAAUAAAAAAUAAUUUUUCAAAAUAAGUUUCAAAAUAUCAUCUAUACACAUUCUUUUUGAAUGAUUAAGAAUCGAGAUUUCUAACCAGUCGGUUAUUAUUAUUUUUUUUUUAUAAAAAAUUGAAAUUUACUUUAUCAUUUAUUGUAUGAAUAUCAUAUGGAUUUAAAAAGAAUUUCACACUUAGACAUGUACCUCUCAGAACAUUUGAAGUGAAGAUGUUCUUGUCUUCUUCAAUUUGAAGGCUCAUUAUGACUUUGAGAUUCACAUUCCUUUAAUUGACAUGAAAUGUUUGACUUGCCUUGACUAAUAAGGACCUUCAUGGCUUACCUGAUAGAGGUUGGGCCUUUACCGUUAUCCACUCAGCAAUGAUGUAUUUUCUGCACUGAGUUAUUUAAUAAAAAUGGUUUUUGAGUAAAACAGAUUUGGAUUUUGACCUAUGGAGGCCUAUGGACUUUCAAAACAGGGGUUCACUAGGGAAAAAAAAAACAGAGAAGAAAAAGAAGAAAAAUGAGAUCAUUGGAAGAAUUUUCAGCCCCUUUCAAUCACUUAGCCAUAUAAUAGAAACUAAGAAGAAGAGAAAGGAUCGUAGCUCACAAAAAGCUUGAGAUAAAUGUUUAGCAUCUUCUGCAGCAUAUCCAUCCAACAAAUUUGCAAAGAAGCUCCAACCAGUCGUGCAUAUGAUCCUCUUCAUCAUCUUGGGCAUCAACAACAUUACUGUUAAUAAUCUGUGUCGUUGUAUCCAUGGGAGAAUCGCUAUGCUCAGUGCACUGUGUCCAGUCAUAGCUUGUUUGUGCAUUAGAAUUAGUAUCUUCUGCUGCUGAUCUGGUAUCACAACUUCUCUGCUCAUCACUAUACUCCAUCAUUGUCUGAUGGUCGCGCUUGGUGGCUUCUGUGUUGUCACAGCUUCUCUGACAAUCAGUACUGGUAUCUUCUGGGAUGUUGCUGUUGAUAACAUCACGUGUAUAUAUAAGAUAGUACCCACACUCUUUCACUUCGACUGGUGCAUCCAAGCUAUGAAAUGAAGCCUUCAAACGUCUCCAUUCGUUUGACCAAUACUGCUUGUCAAUAGCAACCUUGGGAUAAUAAGUCACACACAUUUGACUUGAUUCAUCGCAAAUUGGGCAGCAAUAAAACUGGACAUCAUCCACGUGACAGCAUUCAGAUUGAUCACCACAGAUACUGAGUUCGCAAUUCAACUCAUCACAAGCCAUAGAAAUAAAAAUAGAGUAUAAAGCAAAUCCUAAGAAGUCAUCUUUUCUGUACCAAUCCAUAGGAAGCUCUAUUGUUAUUUGAGAUCCUUUUUUUGGCUGGCUUAUCCACUCUGGAAUUCCAUUAUUUCCCAAAAUAACAACUCUGAUUGCCUUGUUCCAAUAGGAGUCGCAUUCAAAUUCCUGCACAGAAGUACAGUGUUAAUACUCUGUUCAUAAGGAAAAAGGGCUGAAUGUUAUGAAAAUCAUACCUCAAUCAUUGAUUUGAAGCAUUUGAACAGAGAAAAACCAAGUUCACUUGAUGGACUUGAUGAAGUUUCCAAGCAUGUGCAACUGUGGACAUCUAAAUAUCGUAAACUUGGCCGAAGCUCUGGAACUUGUCGACGCCCCUGGCAGUGACUCAAUUGAAGGACUCUCAGUUUAGACAGUUGAAUGAUGCCUGCAAGUAUGCUACUAAAACAGUCCAUGCUUAGAUUUAGACCUGAAGCACGCAAAUCCUCUAAACAUUGCAAACUCCUCAGGUUCUCAGGAAAUUUCUCAAGUUUUGUACAGAAACUGACAUCUAGAGUUUUGAGAGAACUCAAAUUACAAAUGCUUUCUGGAAGACUCACAAGGUUGGUGCAAUCUGAAAGAUUCAAAUAUUGAAGCCCUCUUAAAUAUUGAAUUGAUGCUGGUAGUUCUUCUAUAGCAGUUCCAUCUAAAUGAAGCACUCUUAAAUUUUCCACAUCCUCAACGAUUUCCGGAAAGCUCCUUAAUCGUGAACAGCCUGAGCAGAAGAGAGUUGUAAGGGAUUUCAACUCACAUAUGCUACUGGGAAGAUGCUCAAGGUUUUUGCAUUCCCGCAAACAUAAGCUAUCAAGUUCUAAGGGACACUCAAUAGUGGGUAGUUCAUUGAUGGCAUUUCCCUUUAAACAAAGCUUUCGUCGGGAUUGCACAUCCCCUUGACAUUCCCGGCAAACGGUGGAUAUCAUUGCUUUACCAUGGUUCUGUUCAUGAUCAUGGGCAUAUAUAAGAUGGAUCCCACACUCUUCUACUUUCACUGCUUUACCUCUCAAGUAGCCACAAAAUGAAGCCGUCAACUCCCUGCAUUUAUUUGAGUGGUACUUCUUCUCAAUCAAAAGCUUAGGAUAAUAAAUCAUCCACAUUUGUGGUACAACAUAGCAUUGAAAUGAGGGAAAAAACUGGAGUUCAUCCACAAACUGAAUUUCACGACCACGCAAAGUCAAACCAUACUCGAAGUAAGUUGCAUCAUUAUCCAGUGUCUCCUCAGAUUCAUUAUCAAGUGGAUAAUAGACACAGUACAAAACAAAACCCAACAAGUCGUCAUUUUUAUACCAAUUUUGAGGAAGCUUUGCUACUACUUCAGCUCCCUUUUUGUGAUGGCUUAUCCAAUUUGGAAUUCCACUACCGUCUGAAAUAAGAUUUACUUGGGCAAAAGAUUUUUCUGUAGGAUAAAUCUCGCAUUCCAAAUCCUGCAGAAAAUUUAAUUAACACGUAAAUCCCCAUGUCUCCACAAAAAAAGUUGUGUUCUAUGAAUAUCAUACCUGAAUCAAUGAUUUGAAGCAGUUGAAUAGAGAAGACCAGAGUAGACCUGAAGAAGUUUCCAGCCGUUUGCACCCAUGUACAUCUAAGACACGCAAACUGGAUGGAAGCGCUGGAAUUUGUCGAAGCUCUUCACAGUAACCCAAAUCAAGGAGUCUCAGCCUAGAAAGUUGAUUGAUCCCAGCAGGUAUGCUCCUAAAAGGAUUCCCGAUUAGAAGUAAUUCUUGCAGAGAUGAUAGCUGGCAAAAUUCAGUGGGGAUUCCUCCUUCAUCUAUACAGCAGACAGAUAGAUCUAACACUUGCAAGGAGUACAAGCCGCAAAUAUCACUCAGGACUACUCCUUGCAUUAGCCCUGAGCAAGUUAGAUUUAACACCUUUAAGGAGCAUAAACCUGACAAAGAAAGCAAUUGGCAACAUCUUGAAUUUAAGCCCCUAGCACAGAGACGCUUCAAGCUUUGCAGCCUCCCCAG